RNAcentral lists this ribosomal RNA (543 nucleotides) under Vibrio cholerae. RNAcentral's name for it is "partial 23S ribosomal RNA". It matches the Rfam family "Bacterial large subunit ribosomal RNA", at positions 1 to 537 of the family's 2925-position model. The record is from RNAcentral. Lineage: Bacteria; Pseudomonadati; Pseudomonadota; Gammaproteobacteria; Vibrionales; Vibrionaceae.
GGUUAAGUUAGAAAGGGCGCACGGUGGAUGCCUUGACACUAGGAGUCGAUGAAGGACGGGACUAACGCCGAUAUGCUUCGGGGAGCUGUAAGUAAGCUUUGAUCCGAAGAUUUCCGAAUGGGGAAACCCACCAUACGUAAUGGUAUGGUAUCCUUAUCUGAAUACAUAGGGUAAGGAAGACAGACCCAGGGAACUGAAACAUCUAAGUACCUGGAGGAAGAGAAAGCAAAUGCGAUUUCCUGAGUAGCGGCGAGCGAAACGGAACAUAGCCCAAACCAAGAGGCUUGCCUCUUGGGGUUGUAGGACAUUCUAUACGGAGUUACAAAGGAACGAGGUAGACGAAGCGACCUGGAAAGGUCCGUCGUAGAGGGUAACAACCCCGUAGUCGAAACUUCGUUCUCUCUUGAAUGUAUCCUGAGUACGGCGGAACACGUGAAAUUCCGUCGGAAUCUGGGAGGACCAUCUCCCAAGGCUAAAUACUCCCUAGUGAUCGAUAGUGAACCAGUACCGUGAGGGAAAGGUGAAAAGAACCCCGGAAGGGGA